This 68-nucleotide transfer RNA is filed under the name Marmota monax (woodchuck). RNAcentral describes it as "tRNA.Ala". Lineage: Eukaryota; Metazoa; Chordata; Mammalia; Rodentia; Sciuridae. The record is from RNAcentral.
GGUUAUGGCUCAGUUGGUAGAGUGCUUUUCUAGCACAUGUGAGGCACUGGGUUCAAUCCUCAGCACCA